Molecule: ribosomal RNA, 484 nt
Filed under: uncultured bacterium
Lineage: Bacteria
Description: partial 16S ribosomal RNA
Rfam family: Bacterial small subunit ribosomal RNA
Source: RNAcentral
AUUGAACGCUGGCGGCAGGCCUAACACAUGCAAGUCGAGCGGAUGAAGGGAGCUUGCUCCUGGCUUCAGCGGCGGACGGGUGAGUAAUGCCUAGGAAUCUGCCUGGUCGUGGGGGAUAACAUCCGGAAACGGGCGCUAAUACCGCAUACGUCCUGAGGGUGAACGUGGGGGAUCUUCGGACCUCACGCUAUCAGCUGAGCCUAGGUCGGAUUAGCUAGUUGGUGGGGUAAAGGCCUACCAAGGCGACGAUCCGUAACUGGUCUGAGAGGAUGAUCAGUCACACUGGAACUGAGACACGGUCCAGACUCCUACGGGAGGCAGCAGUGGGGAAUAUUGGACAAUGGGCGAAAGCCUGAUCCAGCCAUGCCGCGUGUGUGAAGAAGGUCUUCGGAUUGUAAAGCACUUUAAGUUGGGAGGAAGGGCAGUAAGUUAAUACCUUGCUGUUUUGACGUUACCAACAGAAUAAGCACCGGCUAACUUCGUG